CGUCCCGCAGCUCAGUCGGCAGAGCGUCCGCCGGAGAAGGCGGAAGAUCCCAGGUUCGAGUCCUGGCGGGACGG
RNAcentral lists this transfer RNA (74 nucleotides) under Streptoalloteichus hindustanus. It matches the Rfam family "tRNA". Rfam says of the family: Transfer RNA (tRNA) molecules are approximately 80 nucleotides in length. Their secondary structure includes four short double-helical elements and three loops (D, anti-codon, and T loops). Further hydrogen bonds mediate the characteristic L-shaped molecular structure. tRNAs have two regions of fundamental functional importance: the anti-codon, which is responsible for specific mRNA codon recognition, and the 3' end, to which the tRNAs corresponding amino acid is attached (by aminoacyl-tRNA synthetases). tRNAs cope with the degeneracy of the genetic code in two manners: having more than one tRNA (with a specific anti-codon) for a particular amino acid; and 'wobble' base-pairing, i.e. permitting non-standard base-pairing at the 3rd anti-codon position. Lineage: Bacteria; Bacillati; Actinomycetota; Actinomycetes; Pseudonocardiales; Pseudonocardiaceae. The record is from Rfam by way of RNAcentral.